GCUUAAUACAUGCAAGUCGAACGAUGAAGCUUCUAGCUUGCUAGAAGUGGAUUAGUGGCGCACGGGUGAGUAAGGUAUAGUUAAUCUGCCCUACACAAGAGGACAACAGUUGGAAACGACUGCUAAUACUCUAUACUCCUGCUUAACACAAGUUGAGUAGGGAAAGUUUUUCGGUGUAGGAUGAGACUAUAUAGUAUCAGCUAGUUGGUAAGGUAAUGGCUUACCAAGGCUAUGACGCUUAACUGGUCUGAGAGGAUGAUCAGUCACACUGGAACUGAGACACGGUCCAGACUCCUACGGGAGGCAGCAGUAGGGAAUAUUGCGCAAUGGGGGAAACCCUGACGCAGCAACGCCGCGUGGAGGAUGACACUUUUCGGAGCGUAAACUCCUUUUCUUAGGGAAGAAUUCUGACGGUACCUAAGGAAUAAGCACCGGCUAACUCCGUGCCAGCAGCCGCGGUAAUACGGAGGGUGCAAGCGUUACUCGGAAUCACUGGGCGUUUUCGCGCCGCGUAGGCGGAUUAUCAAGUCUCUUGUGAUCUAAUGGCUUAACCAUUAAACUGCUUGGGAAACUGAUAGUCUAGAGUGAGGGAGAGGCAGAUGGAAUUGGUGGUGUAGGGGUAAAAUCCGUAGAUAUCACCAAGAAUACCCAUUGCGAAGGCGAUCUGCUGGAACUCAACUGACGCUAAGGCGCGAAAGCGUGGGGAGCAAACAGGAUAGAUACCCUGGUAGUCCACGCCCUAAACGAUGUACACUAGUUGUUGGGGUGCUAGCCAUCUCAGUAAUGCAGCUAACGCAUUAAGUGUACCGCCUGGGGAGUACGGUCGCAAGAUUAAAACUCAAAGGAAUAGACGGGGACCCGCACAAGCGGUGGAGCAUGUGGUUUAAUUCGAAGAUACGCGAAGAACCUUACCUGGGCUUGAUAUCCUAAGAACCUUAUAGAGAUAUGAGGGUGCUAGCUUGCUAGAACUUAGAGACAGGUGCUGCACGGCUGUCGUCAGCUCGUGUCGUGAGAUGUUGGGUUAAGUCCCGCAACGAGCGCAACCCACGUAUUUAGUUGCUAACGGUUCGGCCGAGCACUCUAAAUAGACUGCCUUCGUAAGGAGGAGGAAGGUGUGGACGACGUCAAGUCAUCAUGGCCCUUAUGCCCAGGGCGACCGUUCCGAAUUACAAUGGCAUAUACAAUGAGACGCAAUACCGAGGUGGAGCAAAUCUAUAAAAUAUGUCCCAGUUCGGAUUGUUCUCUGCAACUCGAGAGCAUGAAGCCGGAAUCGCUAGUAAUCGUAGAUCAGCCAUGCUACGGUGAAUACGGCGCGCUGUCUUGUACUCACCGCCCGUCACACCAUGGGAGUCGAUUUCACUCGAAGCCGGAAUACUAAACUAGUUACCGUCCACAGUGGAAUCAGCGACUGGGGUGAAGUCGUAACAA
RNAcentral lists this ribosomal RNA (1428 nucleotides) under Campylobacter jejuni. RNAcentral's name for it is "16S ribosomal RNA". It matches the Rfam family "Bacterial small subunit ribosomal RNA". The record is from RNAcentral. Lineage: Bacteria; Pseudomonadati; Campylobacterota; Epsilonproteobacteria; Campylobacterales; Campylobacteraceae.